Molecule: long non-coding RNA, 543 nt
Filed under: Homo sapiens (human)
Lineage: Eukaryota; Metazoa; Chordata; Mammalia; Primates; Hominidae
Description: non-protein coding lnc-HLX-2:2
Source: RNAcentral
AGAGGGCUUGAAAAAUGCAGCAUCAAUGUUGCUUAUUAGCAUAUACACAUUUUGGGAGUAUUUGACUAAGCAUUAACCAUUCCAGCUAAGAGAUCAGUGUUUGUCAUUCAAAAUAGCUGAGGUGGUUGGGAGAGGACAGCCAGUAUUCCCCAAAAGAGGUUUAUUAGUUUCCUAGGCUGCUGUCACAAAUUGACACAGACUUAGUGACUUAAAACAACAGAAAUGUAUUCGCUUACAGCUUGGGAGACCAGAAAUCCAAGGUGAGUUUCCCUGGGUUAAAGUGAAGGUGUUGGCCCGGCUGGUUCCUUCUGGAGGCUCCGAUGGAGACUGUUCUUUGCUUUUUCAGCCUCUGGUUGCUGCUGGCAUUCCUUCGUUUGUGUUUGUGUCACUACAUUCUCUGCUUCUCUGGCACAUGGACUCUUCUUCUGCAUCCAGUUUUCCUCUGUCUUCCUCUCAUAAGCAUGCGUGUGGUAGCAUUUAGCGUCCACCCAGGCAAUCUAGAUUAAUCUCUCACCUCAAGCUCCUUAACUGAAUCACAUCUGC